Molecule: long non-coding RNA, 4755 nt
Filed under: Carica papaya (papaya)
Lineage: Eukaryota; Viridiplantae; Streptophyta; Magnoliopsida; Brassicales; Caricaceae
Description: long non-coding RNA (CPAP_LNC007278)
Source: RNAcentral
CUUAUUGCAUUGUGUAUUUUAUAUAUUAAUGAUUAUGACAAUUGUUUGGGUGUCAUGAAUUGAUUUGAUCAUUUUUUGCUUUUGUUAUAUAUGAAAAUCGUGCUUGGAUAUUCGAUAUGUAUAUCUGUUGCAUCUUCUACGUGUUUUUUGAAUUAUUUUUGCGUGUAAGAAUCAUGGGUUUGAUUUUUAAUUUCAUUUUUUGUUAAGUUGAUUUUGAAGUUGAUUUGUUUUAUAUUAAGUGUAAUGAAGUCAGUGGAAGUUUGUUCCUUGUUUUGGUUAUGUAAAAUAUAGCUCUUUUGGCAGAUGAAAAUUAAGUGAUGCCUUGAUGGCUCUUUAUGGCUGGUAACUCUAUUUUUUUUUUGAGAUAAAAGAGAAGUAUAUUAAUAGAAAGGCUCUAAGGGGGAGCCACCCAUGUACAAAAUGUCUGGUAACUCUAUGUGACAAGGAGAGAGUUUAUAUAAAUAUAUGCACUUUAGUGGAUGUAGGGAUGGACUAUCCUGCUCCUUCCAUACCCGGUCUGAUAAGGUUUUUCUACGUAAGAAUUUGAUUCGUGUCGCAGCAGGUAUGAGUUGGCGAGAAAUGAUGAUAAGGUCAGGGCGGGUUUGGGUUUGGGUUCGGGUUCAGGUUUUUAUAUUAUAAGUGUGGGUUAGGUUUUUGGUUGUCGAAAUCUGCUGCGUUGCCAUUCCUAAAUGAAUGUCUGUUCUACCUAUGGAGGAUACGCAAUUUGGAAAAUAUCCUAAAAGGGAUAUUUGAUCUGGCAUUAAAUUGUAAGCAAAUUCCAAUUUAUGAAAAUAAGCUGAAGUUUACUUGGAAAGAUGCUUCGGAGGUAAAUUAUGAAGUUGCUUUCUUUGGCAUGGUCUUCUUGACUGUAGAAAAUUAUAUGCAAGGGGAAUAAUUUUUUUGUUAAGCUAUGCAGCAUAACUAAGAAGGAUCUGUGGGGCUGCUGGAAUCAAUUGCUCUUAUUUGUACUUCAACUAGAAAUGUUGGUGCUGGUGGGUUUGGUGGCUCAUGAACUUAGGUCUUGAAAUGGAGGGGCAUUUUUUAUUUUUUUUUAAAAAACAAAGAAUCUGAUUGGGUUGUUGCCCUUGUUGAUCUAAUAGGCUGGAGUGAGAGGAAUGGAAUGCUUUUGGUGGGAUUAGAGGACUUCUUUGUACAUAGCCAGAUUGUUAGAUGUAUGCUUGUAGUUUUAGGUGCUGAUAUUGCUUUUUACAAAUCAAUUUUCCAUUUACCUGAUAUAGAAGCUUGGGAUACUCUACUUAAUUGUUGCUUGUUACACGUGCAAAUGAAGAGUCUUGUUCCCUGAAGUUGAAAUGCUUUGUGUAUACAAUGCAUUUUGCGAAGAUGCUCUUAGCUUUCAAAGUUCGGAAGCUCUCAACUUUUAUCUUAGGUUAUUAUGAUCCUCCCAUUUUGAUGAACUGUUUAUACUUUUUAAUCUUAUUUAUUGAAUUCUACUAUCAUAUAAUUCUUGAAUAAUCUGGAUGCAGGCGACUUUUGAGUGUCUUCUGAAGACCUAUGGUUUCCUGACACCUGAUUUCUGGAGAGAAACCCGCUUCUCCAAGUCUCCCUUCCAGGAGUAUACCGAUCUUUUAGCUAAGCCUACAAAAGCUAUCAUUCACGAAGACCUCGAGAGAGUUGAAGCCUGAUUGCCCCUCCCCUUGUUUUUUCCCCAGAGAAGGGAGUCAUUAUGUGGAGCAUAGCUUGUUUAGGUUUUUAAGACACUUUCCUUCUAUCCUUGUUGUUUCUUGUGUUCGGGAUUUUGAGAUGAAUAUGUUUGGCAUUACGUGCCGUCUCAAACAAUGGUUAUGGUUUUUGGUGGUUAAAUUUUACAUUUUGAUUGAUCUUUGGUGAAUUGCCUGUAUCAAUCUUAAAUUUUCUCAAUCUAAUCAUUUUGGCUGUUUCUUUGUUGAAGAAAAUGAGAUCCAUCUCGGUGGGAAAACAUCUAGGAGGGAUUGACUAAAUGUUUCAAGAACACUUGUAAGAAACUCAAGCACAUUCUUAUGUGCUUGAAUGGAGUGAUUACUUUUUAUAAAAUAAAGUUUCAAAUUAUUUUAAUUUCAUAUGUAAACUUUAUUCUAUGUAUUUAGAAAAUACAAAAUAGUAAGUAUUACUUUUAUAUAUUAAGCAAAAAUUUUAUUUUUCUAUCACUAAUUAGGCUGUAAUUUUCUUUUACCCUAAGAUUCUUUUAGUAUUAAACAUUUGAUAAAAUUUAUUAUAAGAAUUUUAAUACUAUAUGAUACAUAAAUUUUACGUUAUUUUUAUUAAUUUCCAAAAAAUAUUGAUUAUUGAUUAUUAAUAAUUCCAUAAUAUAAACACAUUUUUUUUAACACAUAAUUAACAUAUUUUUAUUUAUUUUUAACAACUUAUAAAUGUCAUAAACCCAUAAGUCUAAUAGGCUUAUAAGCUGAAUAAACUCUGCCGUCGGCCCAUUAGCUUCGGCCCAUUAAUACCUGAUGAUUCUUGUCCAGCUAAGUGACUUCCGAUUGCACACAUAUUUAAGCUGAAAACCCUAGUUCGUGCUGAAGAAAACCCUCGCUGCCGUCUCUUCUACAGAAAAAUCUAUACUCACCUCGCCCGCGUAUCCUGCCUCACGAACACUCGUAACUAUGGCAGACAGAGGGGCGGCGGGAGGCGACAGGGGAGGAUUCCGUCGCGGCUUUGGCGGAGGCCCCCGCGGAGGCCGUGGUGGUCGUCGCCGCCCGAGGAAGGAAGAGGAAGAGAAGUGGGUACCCGUCACGAAGCUAGGACGCCUCGUAAGGGAAGGUAAGAUCCGCUCAUUGGAGCAAAUCUAUCUCCACUCCCUCCCUAUCAAGGAGCACCAGAUCAUCGACCAACUGGUCGGUCCUUCCUUGAAAGAUGAGGUUAUGAAGAUCACCCCGGUCCAGAAGCAGACUCGGGCAGGCCAGCGUACCAGGUUCAAGGCCUUUGUUGUCGUCGGUGACGGGAACGGGCAUGUAGGUUUAGGUGUUAAGUGCUCGAAAGAGGUGGCCACGGCCAUCAGAGGCGCCAUUAUUCUCGCUAAGUUAUCUGUUAUUCCUGUAAGGAGAGGGUACUGGGGAAACAAGAUCGGGAAGCCUCAUACAGUACCGUGUAAGGUAACUGGCAAGUGUGGAUCGGUCACGGUCAGGAUGGUGCCGGCCCCUAGAGGUGCUGGAAUCGUGGCUGCUCGGGUGCCCAAGAAAGUGCUUCAAUUUGCCGGGAUUGAGGAUGUGUUUACCUCCUCCAGGGGCUCUACUAAAACUCUUGGUAACUUUGUCAAGGUAUAGCUCAUUGCAUCGUUUUUUCUUUUCUUCUUGUUGUUUAUGUGAAUUAUUUACGUUUUAUGAAUUGGUUCGGUCGCUGUUUGCUUGUGUUAAUUACGAAAAUUGUUUGUUGAUUACAGUGUUUUUUUAUUAGAUAUCUGAUAUGCACUUCUUUUGUAUCUUGGACAUGUUUUGUCAAAUGUUGUUGCGUGUAAGAAUCACGGGUUUGAUUUGCGACUUAUUUAUUCCUCAGCUGAUUUUGAAAUUGAUUAUUUUAGUGUUUAUAUUAAGUGUUAGGUCACUGAAAAUAUGUUAUUUGUUUUGAGUCUCUAAAUCUGUGUGUCAAAUUUUGUUUUCAAGGGUGUUGCUUCUCUAUCAGAUGAAAAUUAAGGGUGUUUUCUUCUUUUGUUAGCAUGGUGAUGCCUUGAUUACUCUUUAUGGCUGGUUACCUAUAUGCUUAUAAAGAGAGAAUUUAUAUACAUAUAUGCACUUUAAUGAAGAUCUGUUGUACCUAUGGAGGGUAGGCAAUUCAGAGAAUAUCCUAAAAGCAAUCCAUGAUCUGGGGUUUUAUUGUAAACAAAUUCCAAUUUGACGAAAAUGAGAUGAAAUCUACUUGGAAAGAUGCUUCAGAGGUGAACUAUGGAGGUGCUUUAUUUGGCAUGGUUUUCUUGGCCUUAGAAAAUCAUAUAGAAGGGGAAUAUUUUUUGUUAAGCUAUGCAGCAUAGAAGGAUCUGCAUGCACCGCUGCAAUCGAUUGCUCUUUUGUGUAAUUCACUGGAAAUGGUGGUGCUGGCGGGCUUUGUGGCUCAUGAACUUCAGUCUUGGAGGAGGAUUUUUCUUUGAGAAAAAAAAACAAAAAAUCUGAAUGGGUUGUUACCGGUGUUGAUUUUUCAGCCUGAGUUGAGAAGAGUUGAAUGCUUUUGGCGGGUAUAGGGAACUAUGUAUAUAGCCAGACCUUUAGAUGUAUGCUCAUAGUUUUACGUGCUCAGAAUGCCUUUACAAAUCAAUUUUUCUUUUACCUGAGAAAAAUACUAGGUAGAAACUUGAGAUAAUAUCUUCAUUGUUGUUUGCUACACAUGCCAUACAAGGAUAUUAUUCCCUGAAGUUGAAAUGCUAUGAUUACAAUGCAUUUUACAAAAAUGCUCCUAGCUUGCGAAGUACGGAAGCUCUCUUUUAUCUUAGGUUGUUAUGAUCCACUCAUUUUGAUAAACUCCUCAUACUUCUAAAUCUUAUUUAUUGAAUUCAACUAUCAUAUAAUGCUUAAUUAUUUUGAAUGCAGGCCACUUUUGAGUGCCUUCUGAAGACCUAUGGUUUCUUGACACCUGAUUUCUGGAGAGAGACCCGCUUUACCAAGUCUCCCUUCCAGGAGUAUACUGAUCUGUUAGCCAAGCCUACAAAAGCUAUUAUUCACGAAGACGUUGAGAGAGUUGAAGCCUGAUCUCUUUUUUUCCCAGAGAAGGAAAGUCAUUAUGCGGAGCAUAGCUAGUUUAGGUUAUUAAGAUACUUGCCUUCCAUCU